GUCUUCGGCCAUACCAACCUGAAGGCGCCUGAUCUCGUCUGAUCUCAAAAGCUAAGCAGGGUUGGGCCUGGUUAGUACUUGGAUGGGAGAAUGAGUUCCAGGACAGCCAAGACU
This is a ribosomal RNA of Cricetulus griseus (Chinese hamster), 114 nucleotides long. Lineage: Eukaryota; Metazoa; Chordata; Mammalia; Rodentia; Cricetidae. The record is from Ensembl.